CCUACGGGCGGCUGCAGUGGGGAAUAUUGGACAAUGGGCGAAAGCCUGAUCCAGCCAUGCCGCGUGUGUGAAGAAGGCCUUCGGGUUGUAAAGCACUUUCAGUGGGGAAGAAAGCCUUGGGGCUAAUACCCUCGAGGAAGGACAUCACCCACAGAAGAAGCACCGGCUAACUCCGUGCCAGCAGCCGCGGUAAUACGGAGGGUGCGAGCGUUAAUCGGAAUUACUGGGCGUAAAGCGCGCGUAGGCGGUCUGAUAAGCCGGUUGUGAAAGCCCCGGGCUCAACCUGGGAACGGCAUCCGGAACUGGCAGGCUAGAGUGCAGUAGAGGAAGGUAGAAUUCCCGGUGUAGCAGUGAAAUGCGUAGAGAUCGGGAGGAAUACCAGUGGCGAAGGCGGCCUUCUGGACUGACACUGACGCUGAGGUGCGAAAGCGUGGGUAGCAAACAGGAUUAGAUACCCUUGUAGUC
RNAcentral lists this ribosomal RNA (465 nucleotides) under Vreelandella stevensii. RNAcentral's name for it is "partial 16S ribosomal RNA". It matches the Rfam family "Bacterial small subunit ribosomal RNA", at positions 338 to 795 of the family's 1533-position model. The record is from RNAcentral. Lineage: Bacteria; Pseudomonadati; Pseudomonadota; Gammaproteobacteria; Oceanospirillales; Halomonadaceae.